Molecule: long non-coding RNA, 449 nt
Organism: Carassius carassius (crucian carp)
Lineage: Eukaryota; Metazoa; Chordata; Actinopteri; Cypriniformes; Cyprinidae
Exons: 3
Source: RefSeq, a predicted model, not a curated record
AUGAGUUUUACAUUCAUUAUUGAGUUAUUAUUGAAUGAGACUGUAAAUGAUAAAUGUAAUGUUUUAACUCUAGAUGUUUUUUUGUAUAAAUGCUGUGUUUGCGGUAAGUUCUGCGCGAGCGGGGAGCAGAGUUGCCAUGGAAACGGGGCAUCAACACAAAAACCGUUACUGGCAAGCAGUAAUCUCCGUCUCUCGCUGCGGUUUACACUGUUUUAGGAGGACAGAAAGAAACUCUACAGAACAAAGUGAAACUCAAAGAUUUCAACAUUUCUUAAGGGAGAUACUGACUUAGAAAUACAGGUGAACUGAAGAAGCUCAUGAAAUACAUUAAUAUGCCUUUUUCAGAAUAUAUUUCACCAAUUUUAAGAAGUCCCUGACAUCAAAACACUAAAUAUUGUUGUGUCUGUGUCAGAUUGCUUGUUUUGUUCCUGGACUCUUCAGUGAUGAUG